RNAcentral lists this ribosomal RNA (676 nucleotides) under uncultured Delftia sp. RNAcentral describes it as "bacterial SSU rRNA". It matches the Rfam family "Bacterial small subunit ribosomal RNA", at positions 45 to 721 of the family's 1533-position model. Lineage: Bacteria; Pseudomonadati; Pseudomonadota; Betaproteobacteria; Burkholderiales; Comamonadaceae. The record is from RNAcentral.
UGCCUUACCUGCAGUCGGACGGUAACAGGUCUUCGGACGCUGACGAAUGGCGAACGGGUGAGUAAUACAUCGGAACGUGCCCAGUCGUGGGGGAUAACUACUCGAGAGAGUAGCUAAUACCGCAUACGAUCUGAGGAUGAAAGCGGGGGACCUUCGGGCCUCGCGCGAUUGGAGCGGCCGAUGGCAGAUUAGGUAGUUGGUGGGAUAAAAGCUUACCAAGCCGACGAUCUGUAGCUGGUCUGAGAGGACGACCAGCCACACUGGGACUGAGACACGGCCCAGACUCCUACGGGAGGCAGCAGUGGGGAAUUUUGGACAAUGGGCGAAAGCCUGAUCCAGCAAUGCCGCGUGCAGGAUGAAGGCCUUCGGGUUGUAAACUGCUUUUGUACGGAACGAAAAAGCUUCUCCUAAUACGAGAGGCCCAUGACGGUACCGUAAGAAUAAGCACCGGCUAACUACGUGCCAGCAGCCGCGGUAAUACGUAGGGUGCGAGCGUUAAUCGGAAUUACUGGGCGUAAAGCGUGCGCAGGCGGUUAUGUAAGACAGAUGUGAAAUCCCCGGGCUCAACCUGGGAACUGCAUUUGUGACUGCAUGGCUAGAGUACGGUAGAGGGGGAUGGAAUUCCGCGUGUAGCAGUGAAAUGCGUAGAUAUGCGGAGGAACACCGAUGGCGAAGG